UGGCGCACGGGUGAGUAACACGUGGAUAAUCUGCCCGAUGACCUGGGAUAACACUUCGAAAGAGGUGCUAAUACCGGAUAAGCCCACAGGCUCUUCGGAGCAUGCGGGAAAGGGUGGGGACCUUCGGGCCUACCGUCAUCGGAUGAGUCCGCGGCCCAUUAGCUAGUUGGUGGGGUAACGGCCCACCAAGGCGACGAUGGGUAGCUGGUCUGAGAGGAUGAUCAGCCACACUGGAACUGAGACACGGUCCAGACUCCUACGGGAGGCAGCAGUGGGGAAUUUUGCGCAAUGGGGGAAACCCUGACGCAGCAACGCCGCGUGAGUGAUGAAGGCUUUCGGGUCGUAAAGCUCUGUCAGAGGGGAAGAAACUAUCGUGGUCGAAUAGGCCCCGGUACUGACGGUACCCUCAAAGGAAGCACCGGCUAACUCCGUGCCAGCAGCCGCGGUAAUACGGAGGGUGCAAGCGUUGUUCGGAAUUAUUGGGCGUAAAGCGCGUGUAGGCGGUCUGUUAAGUCUGAUGUGAAAGCCCCGGGCUCAACCCGGGAAGUGCAUUGGAUACUGGCAGACUUGAGUACGGGAGAGGAAAGUGGAAUUCCGAGUGUAGGGGUGAAAUCCGUAGAUAUUCGGAGGAACACCGGUGGCGAAGG
RNAcentral lists this ribosomal RNA (647 nucleotides) under uncultured delta proteobacterium. RNAcentral describes it as "bacterial SSU rRNA". It matches the Rfam family "Bacterial small subunit ribosomal RNA", at positions 96 to 721 of the family's 1533-position model. The record is from RNAcentral. Lineage: Bacteria; Deltaproteobacteria.